This 72-nucleotide transfer RNA is filed under the name Verrucomicrobiales bacterium. Its description in RNAcentral is "tRNA-Val". It matches the Rfam family "tRNA". From Rfam's summary of the family: Transfer RNA (tRNA) molecules are approximately 80 nucleotides in length. Their secondary structure includes four short double-helical elements and three loops (D, anti-codon, and T loops). Lineage: Bacteria; Pseudomonadati; Verrucomicrobiota; Verrucomicrobiia; Verrucomicrobiales. The record is from RNAcentral.
GCGCGCUUAGCUCAGUGGUAGAGCGUCUCGUUUACACCGAGAGGGCCGGGGGUUCGAACCCCUCAGCGCGCA